Molecule: transfer RNA, 96 nt
Organism: Fusarium langsethiae
Lineage: Eukaryota; Fungi; Ascomycota; Sordariomycetes; Hypocreales; Nectriaceae
Rfam family: tRNA
About the family: Transfer RNA (tRNA) molecules are approximately 80 nucleotides in length.
Source: Rfam
GGGCGAAUGGUUUAGUGGUAUAAUACUCCCUUAGCAUGUUCGCUCUUCUGAGCUCAUGAUUGGGAGUGGUCCAGGGUUCGAUUCCCUGUUCGUCCA